UUUUUUUGAAUAGAAACUACCAACAUUUUAACAAAUUGAUUUUUGCUGAAAAUAAACAUAAUAAAGUAGUAUUUUAAAACCUCAAAGUGAGGGAUUUCCCUGCAACAAAAUUUAGGAUUAUUUAGCUGUCUCCAAGAGGACAAAUAAAACUGUGAACAUAAUGGUUGACUUAUUGAGAAAGAAAAAUAUAUUAUACAAAGACCAGAAAACAGUGGAAGAGAAAGGUCUGUAAUGGCUUGGCUGCUGAAGGACAUUUCUACCCUCAUGCCAGCACUAAGUGCUCUUCCCAAUGAAUAAACCAUAUGUCCAUUUUUAUAUGCUUCCUUUCACUUAGAUCCUGCUACUUCACAAUAUUCCCU
This 359-nucleotide long non-coding RNA is filed under the name Bos taurus (domestic cattle). Its description in RNAcentral is "long non-coding RNA NONBTAT011536". The record is from RNAcentral. Lineage: Eukaryota; Metazoa; Chordata; Mammalia; Artiodactyla; Bovidae.